AUUUGAAAUCUGACCCCUUUGGGGCCCGAGUUGUAAUUUGUAGAGGAUGUUUCGGGUGCGGCGCCGGUCUAAGUUCCUUGGAACAGGACGUCAUAGAGGGUGAGAAUCCCGUAUGCGACCGGUGACCAACCCCAUGUGAAACCCCUUCGACGAGUCGAGUUGUUUGGGAAUGCAGCUCAAAAUGGGUGGUAAAUUUCAUCUAAAGCUAAAUACCGGCCAGAGACCGAUAGCGCACAAGUAGAGUGAUCGAAAGAUGAAAAGCACUUUGGAAAGAGAGUCAAACAGUACGUGAAAUUGUUGAAAGGGAAGCGCUUGCAACCAGACCUGCCCCUGGGCGAUCAGCCGUUAUUCUUAGCGGUGCACUCGUCCUUGUUCAGGCCAGCAUCGGUUCGGGCGGUCGGAUAAAGACCCCGGGAAUGUAGCUCCCCCCGGGGAGUCUUAUAGCCCGGGGUGCAAUGCGGCCAGCCCGGACCGAGGACCGCGCUUCGGCUAGGAUGCUGGCAUAAUGGUUGUAAGCGACCCGUCUUGAAACACGGACCAAGGAGUCUAACAUCUAUGCGAGUGUUUGGGUGUUAAACCCAUGCGCGGAAUGAAAGUGAACGGAGGUGGGAACCCGCAAGGGCGCACCAUCGACCGAUCCAGAUGUCUUCGGAUGGAUUUGAGUACGAGCAUAGCUGUUGGGACCCGAAAGAUGGUGAACUAUGCCUGAAUAGGGUGAAGCCAGAGGAAACUCUGGUGGAGGCUCGCAGCGGUUCUGACGUGCAAAUCGAUCGUCAAAUUUGGGUAUAGGGGCGAAAGAC
Molecule: ribosomal RNA, 800 nt
Filed under: Sarcogyne sp.
Lineage: Eukaryota; Fungi; Ascomycota; Lecanoromycetes; Acarosporales; Acarosporaceae
Description: partial large subunit ribosomal RNA
Rfam family: Eukaryotic large subunit ribosomal RNA
Source: RNAcentral